RNAcentral lists this unclassified non-coding RNA (421 nucleotides) under soil metagenome. RNAcentral describes it as "partial contains 5.8S ribosomal RNA, internal transcribed spacer 2, and large subunit ribosomal RNA". The stretch from base 1 to 120 matches the Rfam family "5.8S ribosomal RNA", at positions 35 to 154 of the family's 154-position model. The record is from RNAcentral.
GAUGAAGAACGUAGCGAAAUGAGAUACGUAAUGUGAAUUGCAGAAUUCAGUGAAUCAUCGAAUCUUUGAACGCAUAUUGCGCUCUUUGGUAUUCCGAAGAGCAUGCUUGUUUGAGUAUCAGUAAACACCUCAACCUCUUCUUGAUUUUUCAAAAGGAGGGUGGACUUGAGCUAUCCCAACAACCUUUACCGGUCGGCGGGCGGCUUGAAAUGCAGGUGCAGCUGGACUUUUAUCUGAGCUAAAAGCAUAUCUAUUUAGUCCUCGUCAAACAGGAUUAUUACUUUUGCUGCAGCUAACAUAAAGGAUAAUUGUCCUCUUUGCUGACUGAUGCAGGAUUUUACGACACUUUAUGUGUUGUUCAACUCGAUCUCAAAUCAAGUAAGACUACCCGCUGAACUUAAGCAUAUCAAUAAGCGGAGGA